GUCUCCGGCCGCGCCGCCCUGAACGCACCCGGUCCCGUCCGAUCUCGGACACUCAGCAGGGCCGGGCCUGGUUAGGACUCGGAUGGGAGACCACCCAAGAUGACCAGGUGCCGUAGGCG
This 119-nucleotide ribosomal RNA is filed under the name Pteropus alecto (black flying fox). The record is from RNAcentral. Lineage: Eukaryota; Metazoa; Chordata; Mammalia; Chiroptera; Pteropodidae.